GACAGAGGGUGCGAGCGUUGUCCGGAAUCACUGGGCGUAAAGGGCGCGUAGGUGGCGGCCCAAGUCCAUGGUGAAAGCUCGAUGCUCAACAUCGAGUCGGCCACGGAUACUGGGUUGCUGGAGCACUGUAGAGGCAGAUGGAAUUCCGGGUGUAGCGGUGGAAUGCGUAGAGAUCCGGAAGAACACCGGUGGCGAAGGCGGUCUGCUGGGGUAAUGCUGACACUGAUGCGCGACAGCGUGGGGAGCAAACAGG
RNAcentral lists this ribosomal RNA (253 nucleotides) under uncultured bacterium. Its description in RNAcentral is "partial 16S ribosomal RNA". It matches the Rfam family "Bacterial small subunit ribosomal RNA", at positions 524 to 776 of the family's 1533-position model. The record is from RNAcentral.